This is a non-coding RNA of Lolium perenne, 972 nucleotides long. The record is from RefSeq and is a predicted model, not a curated record. NCBI's taxonomy places the organism in Eukaryota, Viridiplantae, Streptophyta, Magnoliopsida, Poales, Poaceae.
CUCCCCCUGCCCUCCACCACGAGCUGCUGCUCCUCCUUAGCUCCAUGGCCAGCCAUGGCCAUGGGAACCUCUCCAAGAUGCAACUCCCUCCUCCCUCAAGCUCCCCCUCACCAUGAGAGCAUCUCUCUCACUCUCUUCUCCCCUAAUCUUUGUUGAGUCCAGCUCACUUUCUCCCUUCUCCUCUCACUAGAUUGGAUCUUGAUGCAGGUGCAUGUUGGUCCAAGCAUGGAGAAGGUUGAGCUAUCCUCAGAUCUGAAGUUCUUGAGCAAAAUCCAAAUCGCGUGAUUCAAAGUUCCACAGAUAGGCAUUGAAAAGAUCUACAACUUGGCGUUGGUCUCAUCCUCAAAUUCGUUACGGAUUUUGCAUGAUCAAGAUCUGGUCAGAUCUGACUUUGUCGAAUUAAACCAGGAGCUUGGGAACGAAUUUUUGAGUGAAACAAAUUGGGGGGUACUUAGCUUGUGCCAUGGUGAUACCAAGAGAGGCAAUUGCUAAGUUAUGAUACUCUCAUACCUUUACUAGAUGCGAACAAUUCCGGAGAAGAAGAAGAAGUGGAAUCGGACGAGGAUUUUAUUUAUGUUGUUGGGAUUCUUAUAUUGAUGGAGUUGAAGAAGUACAGGGACAAAUAAGCCAAGGCAAGCCAUCUUUUGACCUCUUGCUUUUUAUCCUUCUUGUUGUGCUCAUUGCUCCAUUAUAUACUUGGUUCCUUGUAUCAUGUGUGAUUUUUGGUCCUCUACUCUAUGCAUACUUAUUCCCAAAGUAUGUUGAACCCCUUGUUGAUGCUUUGCAUACUUGCUCCCAAGUAUGUGAACCCCCUUGUUGAUGUUAUGCAUGCUUACCCUAAGCAUGUAUGCCCCCUUGACCAUAUCCAUGUUGUCAUCUUCUUAGUGGUAUGAUGAUUAACAUCAUGACCCCUGUUUGAAUCAUCUUAAUUAUGUUGUCCCUAUACAUGCUUAUCCUAAGUAUGUAUGAUCC